This 253-nucleotide ribosomal RNA is filed under the name uncultured bacterium. Its description in RNAcentral is "partial 16S ribosomal RNA". It matches the Rfam family "Bacterial small subunit ribosomal RNA", at positions 524 to 776 of the family's 1533-position model. The record is from RNAcentral.
UACGUAGGGGGCAAGCGUUGUCCGGAUUUAUUGGGCGUAAAGAGCGUGUAGGCGGCCAGACAGGUCCGUUGUGAAAACUCGAGGCUCAACCUCGAGACGUCGGUGGAAACCGUUUGGCUAGAGUCCGGAAGAGGAGAGUGGAAUUCCCGGUGUAGCGGUGAAAUGCGCAGAUAUCGGGAGGAACACCUGUGGCGAAAGCGGCUCACUGGACCGCAACUGACGCUGAGGCGCGAAAGCUAGGGGAGCAAACAGG